This 4617-nucleotide long non-coding RNA is filed under the name Capsicum annuum. Its description in RNAcentral is "long non-coding RNA (CANN_LNC011744)". Lineage: Eukaryota; Viridiplantae; Streptophyta; Magnoliopsida; Solanales; Solanaceae. The record is from RNAcentral.
GGGGCUAUAAAGCAAACAGUUGCAAAGAUGAUGGCUUUCCCACUUGCAAGAAGGAUUAAUUAUAGUAAUAUUGAAUUUAGAUAUAUUGCUUCCAGGGAAGUCUCCCUAUAUCACCAUAUCCACCGUCAAUGGUUGCUGAUCCAAAUCACUAUAAGCUAUCCAUUCCUUGUAAGUCUUAUGAAAAUUCAAUGAUAUUAUUUGAGGGAUUAUUACUUUUGAUAACUGUCAAUGGAUAUAUCAUUCUAAAGGGUACCUAGUGUCCUUUAAGUCAUUAUUAACAUGGUCUUUCCAAUGAUGAAAGGCACCAACAUAAAAGGGAAGUUGUUUUUUGCUCCCACAAUAUGAAAGAGCACUAGUUGGUGAGAAAAGGUAUAUUGGGAGAAUGCCAAUUCUAUCUAAUGUAUAGUAGGGAUGUAUACAAUAAUAAGUGAGAUGAAAAGUUUCAUUGGAUUCUUAGAGAAGAAUCUUUCACUUGGAAAAAGCUCUAUGAUACAUUUUUGAUUUUUUGCUAAGUACUUACUUCUAAUUAUUUUAUCAAGAAGCAAAGUCUAGAUUUAAUUUCCACAUGAUCACUGAUGUAAAACAUUCUAAAGUAUCUGUUCUUUAUUGGAUUAAUUAAAUGAUUUGAGUUCAACCACUUACGCUAUAUAAUCAGAGUGCUAUAAAAUCAUUAUGCCUUAAUCCAUAAUGAAAAACCCACUAAAACAAUGAAGAUUGAUCACGUGCAGUACUACACCAAAAUAGUACAAAAAAUCUGAACUAUGACUAAAUAAUAGAAGACGAAGGAACCUAAUUAAUUAAGAAACAAAGGCAACAUUCAAAAGAUAUUUCUAUUCCUCAAUUUUCCUAAGGUAAUGAAAAUAAAAGCAGAUAUAACAAACGUUCCUGGUGCUUAUACUAAAUCCGAAUACUGCUAUGCGCGAUUGUGUGUUACUGAAAAGUAGCAGAUAUCUCAUCAAAUUAAUUGAAUUACGAAUGUGGUGGCCAACAUAACACAUAUAGUAUCUGUAAUGUAAAUACAUAUACACACGAACAUUCCACAUGGUCUUUGGUUAACAAUUCAUAGAACCUUUGGCCAUACCCUCUUUGCCAAAAGUUAUAUUUUUACAUACAUAGACAAUAGUAUGAGGUAGUGCAUGUAUGGUCCUACGACUGAAAAACUACUAUUACAAGUGAUAUUGAAUAACUAGUGGAGAACAAUGGCAUGUGACUCCCUGACAAAAAUCAUAUGCAUGAAUAUAAUUGAUCUAGAAAUAGAAGCAUCUAUCUUAGUCAUUCACAUAUUUGGUGAAGUUGACGAUCAGCUGCUCCAAUCGCAGCAGAGAUUCUCCUUGCUCCUCUUCCCACUCUCCACAUGCUCAACACUAUUACUCCCAACUUUUCGUUUUACUUAAUCCCAUGUUAAAAAUAAUUAUUUUAAUUUAUUUAUUUAAAUUAUUUUGGAAAAUACCCUUCAUCUUAUUUAGCUUAAUUAUUUUUCUUUCAUAUUAAACCAUACAAAAGAAAUUGAAAGUUGCUAAUUUUUUUUAUUAACUUUAGUAGUUUCUUUUUUCUAAAAAUACAUGUUAAGAAAUUUAUGUUGAUAUUUCUUAAAUGUGUAUGAAGCUUUAACAUUUCAUGUUAAAUUACUUAUUUUUUCCUAAAUUCUAUAAAAUAUUGAUAAUCUCAUUCUUUGUUAAAAAAUUCAUGAUCAAAAAAUGUGAAAAAGAAUUACACUCAUUUUUCAUUUUUUUUAGUAUCAUUAAUAUUAGAACACUUAAAUUCUAUUUUUUAAAAAUUAAUUUUUUAAAUAUUUUUAUUUUUUUAUUUUUAAUAUUAAAUAACUGUAUAAAAUAAUAAUAAUUAAAUUUAAAUAUUAAAAACAUCAUUAAGUAGGUUAUAAUAAAUUUAAUUAAAUUUAUCUUUAAUUAAAUUUUUAUAAAGGGAUGUCAAAAAUAAGGGUCAAGUAAAAUAAAACGGUAGAAGUAUUACUAUUCAUUAUUUGCACAGCCAAGUUGUUAUUUAUGAGAUUGUUGUCCAUUUCCUUCUCUUCUAAUUUUGAUUCAGAAAUAUGCUGACUAUUAAUAAAUGUUCUUUGGAUGAUUCUGACUACUAUUCCGUCGGUAGCAAAAGAAAAAGAAAAUGUUAUCAAUUAUUAUGUUGUGUCAAAUAAAUCAUCUUAGUUACGAGAAAAUUAAGUGAGAGGUGAUAAAAAAAUUUUUAAAUUAAAACUAGUGAUUAUUUUGAUCAGCUAAGGUCAAAGUUUAAUUUAAAUUAUGAUUAAAUUAAUUGAGGUGUAAAGUAUAAUUUUUUUUUAAAUUUUUUUAAAAAGUACUCCAACUCAAAAUUUUAAAGUUUAAAGUUUCCUCCUUUUUUACUAUCUUUCAACCUUUCUUCUUUUUCUUUUUUUCCCAUCUUCUUCUUAUUUUUCUCUCUCUAUGAAUUUUCUUCUUUUUCCAUUUUCUCUUCUUUUUUUUUUCUCUUUACAUUUUGUUCUUCAUUUUUUAAUUUUCAUGAACUAUUUUUUAAAGAAAAUUGAAAAGAUUGAAAAGAAACUUUUUGAUUUCUUUUAAAAAUGAAUGAAUAAAUAAUUUAGCAAAUUUAGUAAUUACGAGAGUUGUUUCAACAACUACGGUAAUUGCUGCAAUAACUAAUAUUAGUUGUUGUGUUACAACAAUUAUUGAAGUUGCUGCAGCAACUAUCGAAGUUGCUGCAGCAACUUCAAUAAAUACUUAAUUUCUGAAAAAAUAUCUGAUUGGAGGAGGAGCCCAAGAAAAAGUGAUAUUUAUGAUCAAAAUAGAGGUGGUGGUGCUGGUGGUGACGCCGAAUGAGAAGAUGACCUUUGUUGUGGUGUUGAUAGCGAUGGUGGUAGAGGAGAAAGAAGAAAAAUAGGUGAUAGUUAUGUAGAGAGAGAAAAUAAUGGUGAAUCUGGAAAAGAUGGCAAUGGUAGUGAUAGUGAUAGUGGAGGAAGAGGAGGUAGCGGCGGCGGACGGCAAUAAAAAGGGUGUGGAGGAGGAGUGAUGGUGAUGUGCAGGAUCUUUGUGUAAAUAUGGGAUAGAGAUCUUUGUGUAAAUAAUAAAACUUAAGGGUUUUAAAAUUAGUAUCAUUAACACUAAUCUUAAAAUUGUCACCUCUACACAAUAUUUAAGACUUGUGUCACUCUUUUUUAAUUUUAAAACUUUUUUGUCACCCUUAAUUAAUUUGCCCUAGUUACGACCUAUCGAUUCUUUUAUGGUAAUAACUUAUUCAUAGGACCAUACAAGAUGUUUAUUAGACUAAGUAAAUGCACUUUAGUUAAGUGAUUUAAGAAGGUGAAAAUGCAUGUUAAUUAAUCAUAAUUAAAUGCUAAAAUUCUGUGUGGCUAUAUAUAUGUCAUGCAUCUAAAACUUAUUGUGACGGUAUAUAUCAUGUAUCUAUUGAUUGCAUAAUACGCUUCAAAUCAUGUGCUUUCGAUCAAGAUAUGAAAUGUCUCAGGCUUUUUCUAUAGUGUGCCACAAGGAGUCACAAAGAGUGUCUUUGUACUAGUAUUAUUCUCUUUUCGUACAGGAAAAACUUUUUGUUGUUUUGAUAUGAGAAUCGAGACUGGGUAAAAUCUCGUUAAAAUCUUGUGUUAUUUUUUUUUUAUAUUUAAUUAUGUGCUUAGUUAAUCACCAUUAUUCCUUGGCAUAUUUCUUAUGUAACUUUGUUAAAGAAAAUGUAAUAGAUCUUGCUAUGCACAGGCUGAAAUGGUUGAAAACUAUUACGUGUUUAGUUCAAUUGGUGUAAAUAAAAAAUGAAGGGAAAGUGUACUCACUUAAGGAAAGUAUACUUCUACCACAUUGGUGGGAGAAAACAACUUUCAUGUGUUUUAAUUAAGAAAUAUGUGUUUUUAUUGAAAAGCACAUCUUCAAGUGGAUAGUGAGGCAAGAACCAAGAGGUGCUUGCCGUCGUUGUCGCUCAGCUUUGGCUUCAAAUUUGAAAAAUGAUUGAUGAGAUUAAUUUUUUAGACAAAGUUUAUUUGAAACUUGAAAAAAUAAGUGGAAUUAUUAAUCCGAAAAAUCCAAAGAAAAAUGAAAAAUAUUUUUUUCCAUAAAACGUCAUGCAGAUGCAUGUAGAAACGCAGAAAAAUUCAUCAUUAAACUAGAAAUAAGUGCUUUUUAAAGUUGCUACAAACUUAUAAUUAGUAUCUUGAUAUACUAAAGUUAACUGUCUUUUUGUGAUAGGAAAGAUGACUACUGAUGGUCAAGUAAUUGAUGGUGUGACAAGAGUGACAGCAACAAAUGUUGCUACAACCAGUCGUACAAUUGUCCUGCCCGCUAUGGCACUAGCGGAAAAGUCCGAAAUUUUUUCUAGAAUAGAUUUUAAGCGGUGGCAAUAGAAGAUGUUCCUCUAUCUGACAAUCUUGUUCUUUAAAUAUUUAUAUCUGAAGAUGCUCCAGAAUUAUCCGAAGAAACUUUGAACUGUUUUGCGGAGAAAUUUUAACUUUUGAGAGUCGCCACUUAAUUUUGAAAAGGAAUUAAGAAACCUUUGAAAGUUACUUAAACGAUUCAAAACAAAAAAAAUCAUUUAAGUUUGAAGAUUCUGAGUAAGCGGUUUCUAUUAAUACUCUUGGAAGGUUGUUAAGGCACUAAAAGUAUCCGCUAGCUUGCGGUUAUUCAG